CCCUAGUUGUUAGCGUGAUGGUGUCAUGGCGAGUGGUUGAUCGUGCGUCGCGUUGCUGGUAGUCUCGGUUUUUUGUUUCUAUUUUCGUUUAACUUGCGCUCGUGGUAAUCUUGCUCUUUGGUUUGUAUUUUUAUUUCUGUUUUUUUUUCUUUUAGAUACGAUGAACCAAUCCGGUUUCUUUUAUUUAUCUGACUAGGGCUCUUUGUAGUUCGUGCUGAAUGUUAGUUGGUAACUUUAUGUUUAGUCCUAAUACGUUUUCCAUAUUAAAUUGCAGCCUGUUUUGUUUGUUUUUUUAAGAUUUUGUUCAUGUUUAUUCCCUUUUUAUUUCAAAUGCAAGUCAUUUUAAGAUGGUAUGCUCACUGAUUUCUCUUUCCUCAAAAUGUAGAAAAUCUUGGUCUAGCUGGUUAUGGAAUUUGGUAUGGUUCACUGUUAGUCUAUUGAGUAAGUCUAUAGUCCAAAUCUGAAGAGGAGUCUUGUUAUUGGUGUGGAUUUGUGUAGGUGCAAUUUUAGCAAGCCUGUUUGUGUUCUUGCAUGGAUAUUGAGCUUAUCGCUUCCUUGCCUUAAGUCAUUCAUGAUUUUUUUCUUAGGUGAAAUCGCAAUAUGGUUUCUUGCUCUGUUUCUGACAGUCUGUUGUGAACUAUGUUGCUAGGAGCAAGAGACUCCUUGGCUGAUAGUUGGUUUGCCUUCUCAUUACUAGGGAUUCCCACAUGGCUGGGUAUCAAGUAGAUGGUGAUUUUCGUGCCUGCACUCUUUAGGUUUGAUGCAGUGUUGAUUAUGGAGUAUGUUGUCUGAUGUAUUUUUUUUUCAGGAUGAUUUAAGUGCUUGCAUAACGGUCUUUGAGUUCGUGAAGAUGGCCAGUUUCUCAGUCAAAUCGUCGUGAGCAUAUACAAUUUCCAUGACUCUAAGGAUGGCCUGGGCUUUUGCGGUAUCGGUUAGCUGAUAUGAUUCUUCUAGCUUCCAUAGGGUCCAGGGCAAGCUCACAUUGGCAGUUAUUCUGAGUAUGUGUAAUCUAUUCUCACACAGGAAGUGCGCCCUGUUAAAUUGUUUAUGAGCUAACCCAUAAUUUUUCCCUUAUUCCUAUUUUGCAUAGCUUAAUUAGUAGAUCUUAGAUCCAGGUUGAAUCAAACACUUUGGUGAAAUCGAGGAACACUGAGUAGGAGUCCAUGGGGCUUUGAUGUUUGUCGCUUGGUGUUUUCAAGUGUGCUUCUUCCUCUCCUGAAUCCUGAUUGACUGUUUAGUCUGAUUCUUUUGUUUUCUAGGAACCAGGUGAGUCUUUCAUUCAUUAUUUUUUCCAUAACUUUCCCAAGACCGGAGGUUAUUUAGAUAGGCCUGUAGGAUAUGGGUCAAUUGGUUUGUUCUGUUUUUAUCGGAAUGAUGGUAGCUUGCUUCUAGCGUGCUGGUACGAGUUUUCUUUGUAGAACACGAAUCAUGGGGUAAAGGAGGUAAUUCUUGUUGGUAGGUGAAAGAUUUUAAAAAACAUGUUGUGAAUUUGAUCCUUUCCCAUGGCUUUGCUUUUUAGGUUCUCCAGUCCAUAAUCUGGUUUUUUUUAUGAUUGGUGAAUUUAGCGCAUGGGGUCUUCUGGAUUUGAACUGUCUAUCAUGAGCAAUUCGUAUCGUGGGUCACCAGUUAUCUUUUUAAUAGUUAUAUUGUUUUGCGAAUAUUUCGGCCUUGUCUUUUUUGGCUAGGACGAUUUUGUUGUUGCAUGGAUUUCUUACGGACAAGGAGUUGUAGUCUGAUGUGGGAGUCCCUGUUAACAUGCUUUUAACAAAUGUCCAAUUUUCGUAAUAGGAUCCUUUGGAUUUAGGUGUCUCCAGAUGGACUUGUUAGUGGCGCAGCAUAUACAGCCUUUCUUGUGAUCACAUGUAUUUUUUCCCUUCUGGCAUUGGCUACAUUACAUUUACAUUGGCCUAACAUUUCUCGUUCCUCCAUGGGCAAAGAUGUCCUGUGUUUUUCUGACUGACUGGGUUUGGAUGUUUUAAUCUUACUGGGUUCUCUGGCUUCUAUCAUCACUUCGUGAAAUAUAUGGUACAUUGUUUCUGGGUUACGCGUAUUGCAAAAUUCACUGGCGUUAAUCUUGCAGCUUGAUUGCUCGCUCACUCCAGUCUGCAACCUUGAAGAUCCAGCUGAAAGCACGGUGUUUAAGUGUCAUAAGGCCUUCUUGAGAAAACGUGUUUUUUAAUCUUAGCAUUAUAAUAAGUGCAAAUUUUUGCAUAAGUGUAAUUUUUCAUAUGUAGGGUCGUGGCCCAUUGCAGUUCAGGUGGCCUUUUCCCACAACUCUUGGUGUCACAUUUUUGCAAGUAAUGAGUCACUAAAUCAGUAAAGUCCUUUUUUCAUGUGUGUUAAUUCUCUCAUGCGAGGAACAACUUUCUCCAGGAAGGUCACCACUGUAGAACGUUGGGACACAAACUUCUAAGGGUUUUCACCUUGUCACUAUAUUCUAAAUUCCUGCUGAGUGACACGUUUCAACAAAUAUCCACAGGCUUGGACUAAUGCAGCGUUUUUAAAUCCAGGAAGUGGGUAGGCUAGAAAUAAACAGUUAGAAACACUUCA
This 2550-nucleotide long non-coding RNA is filed under the name Daphnia magna. Its description in RNAcentral is "uncharacterized LOC116930712, transcript variant X4". The record is from RNAcentral. Lineage: Eukaryota; Metazoa; Arthropoda; Branchiopoda; Diplostraca; Daphniidae.